UCAGACUUGGGGGAAAUUGGUAUUCAGACAGGACCAUCCGUGAGGGCUUGCUCUCAUUCACCAGCUUCAAGCAUUCAAGUUUGUGGAGUUCGCAAAGGCUUUUGGAAACCCCAGAUUGAUAGUAACUCAAAUCUCCAGAUAUCCGAAGAGUCUGAACACUAGGUAGUCUGCCCAAUAUAUCAGGAGUACAACUACUAGGGUUUAAAGCUGAUAUGAAAAUGAGAUUUUUCAGAGAGCUAGAAUAAUUUUUUGGAGGUGCGGGCAGAGUGAUAGAACCAAAGUUUAGAUGCAUGAGUUUUUGCAUCAUCCAAAUAUCCUCUGGUGACUGAUCUAUGUAGCUAGAUGGCAUUUCUAGUGUUUCAAGGUUUAAAAGGGUGCAUAGCAGUGAAGGAAGGCAUUUGAGCGAAGGGAUAUUCAAUUUCAAAUACUUCAAAAGAUAUAAAUUUUCUAAUCCGGGUGGAUAUUGGUCCAGGACUGCAGAACCCAUGUUCAAUACCCGAAGGUGUUUGAACUUUUUACAAAAAUUCUCGCAAUCUAUCAGAGCGAGAUGAUCGCUUGCCGAACUGUGAUUCAGAAAAGAUUGGAGAUACAUGUCAGAAUGUUCUAAAGAUAAAAACCCAGUCAGAUCUUCGGCAAUGACGCACCGUUUAACAUUUGCCACUCGCUCCUCUUCCCUGUCAUGCACCAAGACAAAUCCGGCCUUCUCUGCCACAAAAUACAAUGAAGUAUAUACAAAACUUGGAACAUAACACGCUUUAAUUGUGGCUCCGGCGCUUCUCUUACUCACUUGAAUGAAGCCGCGAUGGAUUAGUUCUUUCAAGUAAUGUUCGGCAGUUUCUUCACCGUUGUAUGGUAUGAAACCUUCAGCUACCCACAACUGAUAUAAUUGCUCCGUAGAUAUCUCAAUACUUGGAAGGAAGACACACAAAUAGAUGAAGCAGACUUUCAAGUAAAAAGGUAACUCCAUCACAGAAAAAAUUUGUCUCCAAACUGUCGGAAUCGCUUCGCCUUGAAGAUAAUUUUCUAAUGGCAUACUUCCAUAGUGUAGGAUGAAAAAUUGCCACGCUUCAUGCUUUAAUCUGAUCAAUGGUCCUCCAAAGAGCACUGAAUCACGCCGAAUCUUCUCUCCGUUUUCCAUUUCCAACGACGCAAGGAGCUGUGGAUCACUGACCAACAUCAAUACUCUGCUUCCAUUCUGAUUAUCAGGAAGAACUUCUUCAAGAUCACUCCAUAUCUCACUGUCAUCGAAGACAUCAUCAAGCACAAUAAAGUACUUCCUGUUUGUUAGGUAAUCUCGAAGAAUAGAUUUCUUCAAUUGAUAAUCUUCCCCGAUAAUUACACUAACCCGAGAUGGAGGCAUCACCGACUUGAUUAUGUCAUCCAAUAUCUUGCCAAAAACGUAGGUUAUAGAAACCCUGACCCAAGCAAGACAGUCAAAAUAGAACUUGACGUGGUUAUUAUUGUAAGUAUCUGCAGCAAAAACAGUCUUGUCGAAGCCACUGCUGUCGAGAAUUGCAACCACUGCAAGCCCAGAUGGUCCCUCAAUCAAUAGAUCAAACAACUCCUCCCUGCCCCUUUCAAAUUCAUUGAUAUCAAGCCGAGGUUGUCCCUCACUCAAUAGGCGAAUGAUUUCGUUACUUUUUUCACUGAUAUCAAAACCAUUGUCGCCGGGUGGAAGUUGUUGCAUCCGAUUUCUAAUAUCAAUGAUUUUAGUGUGGAGUCCAACAAGAAGAGCCAUAAUGAUGUUGAUGAUUUCGUUACUUUCACUUUCGUUUUCACUGUUUUGCUGCUGCAUGAUGUUGAUGAAGAAUGUGUCAAUGACUUCCUCAGAGUCACGGACAAAGUUAUUGAUGUCCUUCAGAAUUUCAAAAAUAUCUGCUGUUUCAACGUCUUCUUCAUCGCUUUCUUCUAAGUCCAACAGUUGCAAAAAAGGCAAAGAUAUUUUGGAGUCAUCGAAUUCUUCUCUAAUGAGUUGAAACAAAUGCCGAGCCAUGUCAGCUUCAUAAUUUCCCAGCAGAGUAGUAGCAAUAAUUUCGGACUCCGUAAGAAGGUUUUGAAAAAGUGGAGUUAAAUUUGUUGAAUCUGGCAGCGGCAACGUGCCUUCUUCACCUGCUAACACCCUUUUCAACCUCUCACAAAACAGUCGGAGGUGGAAUUCCAGCAUAUCUCCUUCUCUCUGUAGCAGCCAGAGGUAUUGUUUUUUGCUCCAAGAAAUAUUAAAAGGAUUGGUUCUAUCCUCAAGUGGUUACUGGUGUAAAAUUAAACGCCAUGGGAGAAUUUGAAAGGAAGAUGCCAAGGAACUGGCGAAGUGGCUAAAUUCCACAAAUACGGCAUUAUUGCUCAUUUUUAACUCAAAAAAUUGAUACGCGUUCAUUUAGAGAAAAGUCCAAGACGCGUGCUUUUUGAAAAGAACAGGUAUCCCAAUCGGUAUCCAACCUUUAUCUUAUUUAAUUACUACCAUGACAUAAUUGAUGGUGCUUAAAUCAAUUGUUUCUUUUUUAAUUUAAAGAAUUUUUCAUUAAAAAAUAUUUUAAUAUCAAAUUGCCUUCAGUGGCGUAACAACUGCCUCAAGCCCAGUAACAGGACUAAUUAAAAAUUUUACAAUUUUGGGGCAUGGAAAUAGUAGUAUUAAACAUUAGAAAGGUGAGGUUGUUCUGUUAAAGAAUUGAUAUUGACAUAAUUUUAUUUUGGUUUUCGUGGAAAAAAAAAAUUUGUUGACAAACAAGAAAAUAUUUUUAUAUUUUAAAAUUUAUUAUGCAUAUUUUAUCAUAUUAAAGUAGUUUUAAUAGUAAAUAGAAACAUAAUAUUACGAUAAAUAAAUUAAAAUUUAACUUAUUUUGAAUAUUAUAAAAAAUAAUUUUAAUAUUAUUAAUAGGAAGACAUUGUAUUAAUUUAAAAAUUUUUUAACCCAAAGGUUUAUUUAAAAUCUUUAUUAUAAAUACAAAUAUAAAAUUAAAUAUCAUAAUUUAAAAUUUUUAAUAUUAUUUUAAGUAUGAAAAAUAUUUUAAUAUUAUUAGUCUAGAUCAUAUUACUUAUAUAAUAUUUGUAUUAUUAAAAAUGCUUUAAAAAAGACCUUGUUGUUACUUUUUAAAAAAUUGAGGGCCUGCUUGAUAAUUUUUUCAAAAAGAAAAUGCUUGGUAUAUAGGAGGGGUAGAGAAACAGGACUCCCAAAAUCUCUCACCCUUUUGUAAUUUAAAAAGAAUUAAAAUAUCAAUAAAAAAUAAUAAAGAAAAUAGAAUUUUAUCUGCUCCUUACUCCAUUUUUGCAACUCUCUCACCAUCUCUGUCGAGCAGCCCUCUCUCUCAUUGUCUCUCACUAUUUCAGGAUCUCUCUCUCACUCACACAAUCCUUUCCACGAUUUGAAAUUCUUUGGCCUUCUGCAACUCUUACAAGAAAUUAACGCUUUGGUUCUCCCAAGGGUAGAUUGGUUUUAUUGGGAAGCUAUUAAUUAGAAGGAGGAAAAAGGACUAUAUUUAGAAUAUGAUUUGUUGGAGAAUCUCAAAGUUAAUCAAUUUUCAAGCCACACUUUCAAUAGCCAAUUGAUUUAGUAACCAUUAAUUACUUUAAUUUCCAUAAAUUGUAAUGACAGUGCAAAUGCAUCUGGUUGUGAUAGCUAAGGGUUAGCUUGAAGAAUUAAAUUUCAUAAGAUAUUACUGGAAAAUGCUUUGCAGCUAACGUGCUGCUUCCUUUGCUAGACUACAAUUUCAAAAUUCUCACGAGUUUUCCAUUGUUGUCACAAACCGAGAAAUUAUAAAAUACAUGGCCUGGUUCUUUGGCAAUGACCAUCUCAUCGUCGGCGGUCGUGUCGUCAUUGUCACUGGUCUUGCUCGACCGAGACAGUGAGAGAGAGGUUUGUUAGAUGGAGUUAGUGAGAGAGAGUUGUAAAGAUGGAAUGAUGAUAAAGGAUUCUAUUUUUUUUAUUGUUUUUUAUUAAUAUUUCAACAGGUCUUAGUAUAUAUAUAUAUGAUUGUAAAUAUCAGUUAUACUCAUGUAAUAUGAGUUGUAAUUUGAGCAAUAGUCUCAUGUUAUCAAAAAAAAAAAAUCAAAAAGCAAAGGUUGUUAUGUCGAAGAAUUGAUGUCAACAAAAUUUUAUUUUAGUUUUCGGAAAAAACAAAACAAAAAUAAAAUUUUUGUUGACAAGCAAGAAAAUGUUUUUUAUACUUUACAAUCUGCUAUACAUAUUUUAUCAUAUUAAAGUAAUUUUAAUAAUAUAUGGAAACAUAAUAUUAUAAUAAAUAAAUUAAAAUUACUUUGAAUUAUUGAAUAUUACAAAAAGAUAAUUUUAAUAUUAUUAAUAGGAAAACAUAUUUUAUUUGUAAAAUCUUUUUAAUACACAAAUUCAUUUAAAAUCUUUAUAAUAAAUACAAAUAUAAAUUAAAAAAUAUCAUAAUUUAAAUUUUUUAAUAGUAUUUAAAUAUUAAAAAUACUUUAAUAUUAUUAAUCUACUACAUCAAAUAUAUUAUUUAUAUUAUAUUCGUAUUGAUUAAAACGUUUUAAAGUCAAAUUUUUAAUUAGUGUAUUCAAAGGUACAAAAGAUUUUAGUAUUAUUUUUUAAAAAUUUCAGGAUAUGAAUGAUAAUUUUUUCAAAUUUUAAAGAUGUAAAAAUCUUUUUUUCUGAUAAUUUAUUUCACUUUUGAGAGAAUCCGAAAACGUUAAUUUAACAUUCUUUACCUUUGUGAAAAAAGUGAAAAUCAAGAACUAUUCAAUUUUGUUUUUAUUUGUAAUUCAAAAACUUUAUUCAUUUUCGAUGCUUUUCAAAAGAGAUUCCUUUAAAUCCUUUUGAUGUCUGCAGCUCCUGCUAUUCUCAUAAAUCUCCAUCCCACAUCUACACUAUCAAACUAGUUGAUGGAAAUUCUUAUAAAAAAAAAAAAAAAGUCGAUGGAAAUUGAUCAAUUGCUUUUUGAAAUGGACCCAUUGAGUCAUGUUCAUUUCUGGUCAUAUAAAUUUCUUUACCUUACAGUUUAUACGGUCUUGCUGUUAAUGAAUUCGCUGAGGCAUUAUUGAUCCAAUCUGAGUGAAGUAAUUGUGGGUGAAAAAUAAAUAAAGGAUAGCAGAACGUAGCUGAAGUGCUGAAGGGGCUAUUAAAGAAGAGUGUCACUCGAUCACAAUCACAUUGAUGCACAACUCACUCGUGGCAAAUUCCGACUAUACGUACUGCAAAUUCAGCCAAACCAUACAUGCAUGAACAAAACAUCUUCUCUAAACUAAAAAGCCCACAUCUCUAAAAUCAAUCUACAUAAUGUUGGAGAUGAGGGGUGAAUUGUUAACUCAGUAAAAAAAAAAAAACUCAUGCAUAAGAUUACUAAUAAUAUAAAUUAUAUAUUAAUCAUUAUGAAGAAUCAUAAAUUAGAAAAAUUAAUCAUUUUAUAAUUUAUUACACAAGUAAGAUAAAUCUUAUAAUAAGUUAUAACAUAAAAAAACGUUAUCAAUAAAUAAUCAUUUAAGAAGUCAUUUAACAAUAAAAUCGUUCUUUGAUCAGUUGGUCAUGUCACAUAGUAUCAUCUAUAUUUAUGGUGAUAAUAUUAUUACUUGGUAUUAUCAAAAAACAUGAUUUAACAUUUUAGAGGAAAUUCUUGCCUUUUAAAAAAAACAUGUAUGCAACAGCUACCCAUGCUUGAUCUUACAAAUGAACAAAUAAUUUUUCUCAAUGAAAAGAAUUUUUUUUUUAAAUUGAUUUAAUUGCACCAAUUAUGAUGAUUUUUUGCCAAAAAAUUAUUUUUUGGAAAACAUAGUGAGAGAAAAUUAGUGACGAUUAUUUGUUUAGAUUGUAUAAAUAGCUCAAACAUAAUCCCUUAAUAACCNNNNNNNNNNNNNNNNNNNNNNNNNNNNNNNNNNNNNNNNNNNNNNNNNNNNNNNNNNNNNNNNNNNNNNNNNNNNNNNNNNNNNNNNNNNNNNNNNNNNAGGGAGAUCGUCGGGGACAAUCUGAACGGCCGACGCCGAUGAAAUGGAAGGGUUUACCAGAGGAGUGGAUGCGAAGAGUGCAGGGACGGCCGCAGAGAGAGAGCGGCGGAGAGCGGCGACGGACGGUAGUCGGUAUGGGCCAUUGCUUGCGCGUCGGUAAUUGUCUCGAGUGAGAGAGUGAAGGGUUUUGUUUAGGGUUUUGGGAAAUGAAAAAUGCAAAUGUUUGAUUUUGUUGCUAGAAACUUCUUCUGCCGCUGCCUUUUAUUUUCGCUAUAAUAAUAUUAAUAAUUUGUUAAUAAAAUAUUUUCUUAAAAAAGAUAAAUUUCUACGACAAAAUUUAUAUUAAAUCAAAUUGUAAAAAUGUCUAUUAGGGUUAAUUUCUCCUUAAUAUUAUUAUUAGUAGAAGUAGAUUUUCGAAUUAGUCUUGAUAUAUUUCAGAGUUGUAUUAUAAAUGUAUAUGUAUCUGGAUUGCAAUUGUAUUUUUAAAAAAUAUAAUUUUUUUAAUUAUUGCACAAUAAAUGUAGAAAGUGUCUAUAAAAUAAUAUUAUUAGAACUAUGAAAAGAUAUUAUUUUAGAGUAGUUAUUUAUUUAUUUUUGAAUAAAUAAUUUAUUAAUUUAUUGAUAAAUUAAUAUUUAUUAAUUUAAAGAGAGAUUUUUUUUUUGUGGGUUUUAAGAAGAGUUUUGUUGGUAUAUGUAUAAACUUAUAAAGAAAUACAAAAAAUGCUUCCUCAAGUCAAUAAUAUUUACUUUAAUUCAUAAUAAUAUAGUUUAAUCAAGAAACUUGUAAUUAUACUAUAUCUUUCUUUCUUUGUUCAGUUUGGUGGGACAUUGUGAUAAAUCAUUGGAUUAAAAUGCAUUUGUAAAUGAAAACUUGUUAAAACCUAAUUUAUUUGGGAAAAACAUAUUAUUUACUCUUUUUUUUUCCCGCUCUCUGACAAUUGAGGUAUGGGUCAAGCUUGAAAGUAUCUUAAAAUCAGACAACAAUUUAACGAUUUUUUGUUUUUAGAUAACUGCUGGUAUGCUCUACAAUGAUAAGUGAUAACCUAGGUGUUUGCAUUAAUUAUGAUUCAACAAUUUAAAAAAUGAAAACAUAUGGAAGACGGCCGCAAUUAAAUUUAUUGUAUGAAAAUAUUUCAAUGAAAUUUUAAAAAUUUAGUACUUGUUAUCUUAUCGAGAGUUUUUAAUUAUAUUACUACUUGAACUUGACUGCUUUUGUAUUGAAUUCCUAGCGUUGCCAUUGCUUCUACUCAAAAGCCAUUUAAGUUUGUGUAAGCUACCUGUAGUUUGAACAACAAUUUUCUAGAUGAAUUUUUUCCUACAUGCUUGUUCUCGUAUGACCCAAAAUCCUGCUACAUCAGUUGUAUUAGAAAUUAAUCAACUGGGUUACAAUUAUGCAUCCCCACCAAUAUUCAAGCAAUCUACAGAAACAUUUCUUGAGGAAAGAAACUCAUAUCGCCACUAGGCUUUUAAUGAGGCUCAUUUUUAUGAAUCUGGAUGGCAUUAGAUAUCUCUCCGAAUAUUGGUGGGAGUAUAUCGCUGAUCUCUGGGCUAUACUACAAAGUGUAUGUACGUUGACUCUCAAUAAAUACAAACGAUUCUCUGAUCUGAUUCAAAACAUCAGUACAUGCAUCAUUUUAAUGAGAAAGAAUAUUCUAAGAACGAAAUUGAAGGUGCAAUCAGCAGCUAAAAUGAAGCCAGAAAUGUACACGCAUGAGGAACUUUUCCUAGAAGAUUGAUAUUUCUUUAACUAGCAAACCAUAUAAGUCCAAAGCUAACCAAACCAUACCUGCAAGUCCGGGGCUUAAAUGGAGUACUUGUAAGCAUAAAACAUUAAUCAAAACACAGUAUAGACACACACACACACCCCUACAUACAUACCAGCAAAUUCGGAAUAGAAAAAGGAGUGCAACUAUUCAAGUUUGCAGACAAUAUUGCAACCAUGGCAUAUUAAAGCAAAUCCUUGAAAUCAGCUAAACAAAACAAUGCCCUGUCUCAUGAAUCGAUGCUCAAUUAAAAUUGCAAUUGAAAGUCCGGCUGGUGUUGUUUCCCUCCCCAGUUUUGCCUACAUAAGUAAACGGAAAUAAGAAUCAUAAAUGAAAAUCUACUUUGACAGUUCUUAUUAGAUAGAUAUAAAAAGAUCUUUCUUUGUUUCUCUGCUGUAAUUUGUAGACAUGUUCCUAUUGUGCAUAAUUUACAUUAUAGGCAAAUAUUCUUAUACCAUCAUAGGCAAAACAUGACACUAACAAUUGAAGGUUUUAUGACCUCCUUGAAGGUUUUACGAUAAACAUAAAUCUACUGAGAAAGUGGGAAAAAAAAGAAAAUGCAUAUAAAAAUAUGAGUUAUCAGAUAAGAUUGAAACUCACCCAAUUCAAUCCAUCAGAUUCCGCAAGGAUAUAACUGGAUGUCAUACCGCCACUCCAUAUCCUCGAAAGUCCGUAGUCCUUGUCUCAACUGUGUCUGGGGCCAGUGUAAGUCCAAUUUGCGCAAGCUCUUUAUGCACCACAGCUCUUCUGGAAGCUUUCUCAAGUAAGCACAUGGGUUGACAAUUAAGCUUUCAAGUUUCGGCAUUGCUCCAGCCCCCAUCGUCCACUCAUCUAGCCAAUACAUUGAUUUCAGGUGCAAAACCUUAAGUUCGGGAAAGCUACUCAAGCCAACACAAGCAAGCUUUCUUCCUAAAUACGAGUUCUGCUUCAGUUUCAGCACUCGAAGGAGUGGAAGAUUUUCCAGAAUUGGCAUGGGAUCCUGUUGUGAAUUUGGCUUUGUUACGACUAACCAAAUUCUCCCCAAGACACUAAUUUUGUAUCAAAUGGUUUGAGAAUUAACAGCACAGAUUAUGCAGUAACAAAUCACACGCAAGAACCAAAGCAUUAAAGAAACAAAGUGACACCAAGUAUAAGUGGUUCAGCACCAAGAUGUGGUGCCUACAUCCACUGGAAACAAAGCAACAGUCUUUCACUAUUUAGUUCACAAAACAAUACAAUAAUAGGAAUUUAUUUACAGAGAACAAGAACUUGUAAACCCCUUUCUCUCUCUAUCUUCUCUCUACUCUCUGUGUUUCCCAAUUCAUGUGUAGACGAUGACAGAGCCUGCACUUUUAACCUCUGUUUCUGGGUUGUUACAUUAACUACCCUUCCCGCCAAAACUAACCAAGAAGCUCCUCUCUCACGUGCUUGUCACAAGUUGGCAUAAGUGAGCUUGAAACGGCAAUCACAGAUGUCGUUCUUGAGCUAACGAGAUUUCAGCUUCACUACACGUGCAAACCACGUGUAUUACUUAAAGGUUGAAUGACCAAAGAGAGGAUGUCGGUUUUACUCUGAAGAACUCCUCAAGCGACAAGUCGGCUGAGACUAACUCCUCUAAACGACUUGUAGCACUUGAGUUUCGAGUUCACUGUUUAUCAAUCUCCACCUUGAACUCAGAACUCUAGCUACUCAUGUUUACUUCAUUCUCUUCCAUUUGCAGCUAAUCAGAAGCUGCAAAUCCCUACUAAGCUCAAACAGAAGUUGAGCUUGGCAGAUGGCAUAGCUUUAGUCAACAUAUCAGCUGGAUUUUGAUCAGUGUGAACCUUGAGCAUCUUCACAAUUCCCUUGGAAACUUCAAGUCUAACAAAAUGCAGCUUUACAUCGAUAUGUUUUGUUCUUUCGUGAUGGGUCUGGUUUUUACUCAAAUGUAUUGCACUCUGGCUAUCACAAUAUACUUCAACUGUUUCUUGUUUUGCUCCUAACUCAGAGACCAUUCCUUUUAACCAGAUGGCUUCCUUAAAAGCUUCUGCAGCUGCUGUAUAUUCGGCUUCAGUUGUGGACAAAGCUACCACACUUUGCAGUGUAGCUUUCCAAUUCACAGUGCAGCCUCCCAAAGUGAAUAUAAAACCUGUCUGAGACCUCAUUUUAUCAAGAUCUCCAGCGAAAUCUGAGUCAACAUACCCCACCAGCUUGUGCCCUUCCUGUUUUAACCCUCCAUAUAGCAGACCAAACUCCAUAGUGCCUUUCAGGUACCUCAUUAUCCAUUGGACUGCCCUCCAAUGUUCAUAACCUGGAUUUGCCAUGAAUCUACUCACUACACUCACAACAUGUGAGAUAUCAGGUCUAGUGAGAACCAUGGCAUACAUUAGAUUCCCAACUGCACUGGAGUAAGGUAUCCUUGCCAUUUUUCCUUGCUCUGCAUCAGUUUGUGGACACUGUGCAGCAGACAGCUUGAAGUGAUUUGCCAAAGGUGUUUGAACAGACUUAGAUUCAUGCAUCCCAAACCUAAGUAACACCUUUUUAACAUAGCCCUGUUGGGUUAGAAACAUAAGCUUCCUUCUCCUGUCUCUGAUAAUUUCCAUACCUAAGAUCUUCCUUGCAGCUCCAAGAUCUUUCAUAUCGAAUUCACUGCUCAAGAGGUCCUUUAAAUGACUGAUUUCAUUUAUGCUGUGACAUGCUAUAAGCAUGUCAUCCACAUACAGCAUAAGAUAAAUCAUCUUUCCAUCACCAAUGUCCUUAAAGUACACGCAACAAUCAUAAUUGCUUCUCUUAUAGGCAUGUUUUGUCAUGAAACUAUCAAACUUCAAGUACCAUUGCCUAGGAGACUGCUUUAAUCCAUAUAAAGAUUUCUUUAGUAAGCACACAUGAUCUUCCUUGCCAGACACCACAUACCCCUCAGGCUGCUCCAUUACAAUUUCUUCUUGUAAUUCACCAUGCAGAAAGGUUGUUUUAACAUCCAUCUGCUCUAGGUACAAGUCUUGAAUGGCAACUAAAGCUAAGAUGACUCUGAUGGAGGCAUGUUUCACAACUGGAGAGAAGAUUUCAUUGAAAUCAAUCCCCUCUCUUUGUGUGAAACCUCUUGCUACCAGCCUAGCCUUAAACCUACUAGGUUCAGCAUCAAAUAUCCCUUCCUUAAUUUUGAAGAUCCAUUUGCAGCUAACAGUCUUCCUUUUCUCUGGUCUAACUAUCAGUUUCCAAGUUCCAUUUUUCAUUAGUGAUUCAAUUUCCUCAUCCAUAGCCUUCUUCCAUUUCAGCUUAUCCCUGUUGUUUAUAGCUUCUUUAUAGGUUCUUGGCUCUUCUUCAUUUAUCUCUUGUGCAGCUGUUAAUGCAUAAGCUAUCAAAUAUGCUACUGCAUACCUCUUAGGUGGUCUUACAGCUCUCCUCUUUCUAUCCCUGACCAACUGAUAAGAGUUAUUUUCAUUCUCAGCUGGCUCUGACUCCUGAACACCAUCAGAUCCAUCAGCAACCCUUCCUGCAUCUUCUUCAGAUUCUGAUUCAGUCAUAUCUUGCUCAUGGGACUCCACCUGAAACUGAAUACUCCCAGGUUUUAUUUCUGAUCUAUACUCUUUGGAUUCAGUGGCUUUGGAAUUGUUCAAGAUUUCUGACUCAUUGAAAGUUACAUCCCUACUGAUAAUGCAUUUUGGUGGCUUCAGAUCAAUGCACCAUAGCCUAUAGCCUUUAACUCCAUCAGGGUAUCCCAAAAAUCUACACUUUAAGGCUCUUGGCUCCAAUUUGCCUUGUUUGACAUGUGCAUAAGCAACACAGCCAAAGAUUCUUAGUUUAGAGUAAUCAGCAACCCUUCCAGACCAUAGCUCGAUAGGUGUUUUGCAUUCUAUUGCUGUAGAUGGGCUUCUGUUUACCAAGUAGCAUGUUGUGUUUAAGGCCUCUGCCCAGAGUGACUUAGGCAGCUUUGAGUAUAGCAGCAUACACCUCACGUUGUCCAUUAAGGUUCUAUUCAUCCUCUCAGCAAGACCAUUUUGCUGAGGUGUGUGUAUGACUGUUUUGUGCCUCAUAAUCCCAUGUCUUUCACAGAAGUCCCCAAACUCUUUAUUGCAGAAUUCCAUUCCAUUAUCUAUUCUUAGAGCUUUUACUUUCAAACUUGUUUGUGUUUCUACCAGAAUUUUCCAUCUCUUGAACCUUUCCAAAACUUCAUCUUUGGUUUUGAGUACAUACACCCAAACCAUCCUUGAAUAGUCAUCUAUUAGGGAUAAGAAAUACCUACAGCCACCAAGGGAAUCUACCUGUGCAGGUCCCCACAGAUCAGAGUGUAUAUAUGCAAGCCUCUCUUUGGUAGAAUGAACUGCAGAUUCAAACUUGAGCCUGGAAGCCUUCCCUAGAAUACAGUCUUCACAGAACCCCAAAGAACUUAGCUUGUCACUUCCAAACACCCCCUUCUUUUGAAGCUCCUUCAGUCCUCUCUCCCUCAUGUGCCCCAACCUCAAGUGCCAUAGUUUUGCUUUAUCUUCACUCUUCUCAGUGACACUUGCCUCUCCAACAGUUGUAUGUCCAUUAAGCACAUACAAACCAUUUUGCUUGGUACCUUUCAUUAUGACUAUUGAGCCUCUGAUAACUUUUAAUGUCCCAUUUUCAGCCUUAAUGACACAUCCAGUUUGAUCAAGCAUGCCAAUAGAUAUUAGGUUCCUUUUGAGUUCAGGAACAUGCCUAACCUGAGUCAGUUCUCUAACCAUGCCAUCAUACAUCUUAAGGCUUACAGUCCCAAUCCCAACUACUUUACAAACUGAAUUAUUUCCCAUCAGCACCAUACCCCCAUCACAGGACUGAUAUGUAGUAAAGUAAUUUCUAUUUGGACUCAUAUGAAAAGUACAUCCAGAGUCUAGUACCCACUGACCUUGAGUUUUUUCUUUUGUGGCAAUGAGGACUUCAGCUGUCUCAAAACUGGUUUCUUCUGUGGCUAUUGCUGCAUUUCCAGAUUUUUCUUUUGAUUCCUUUUGUUUUGUUUUUCUCUCAGGGCAAUCCCUCUUGAAAUGCCCUUCUUUGUGGCAGUGAAAACACUUCAAGUGUUUUUGCUUUGACUUUGAUCUUCCUUGCUUCUUUCCUUUGUAUUCUCUUUUUUCAGAUCUUCCCCUUGCCAUCAGCCCUUCACUUGAUUCACUCUCUGAGUUAUCUUGUUUGUCUUUUAACUUCUUGGUACCAAGAGCAGAUUUAACCUCUUCCAAGGAGAGUGAUUGCCUUCCAUAUAACAAGGCAUCCACAAAAUGUUCAUACGAUUUUGGUAAAGAACUGAUUAACAGCAAAGCCUUGCUCUCAUCACUCAGUCCUUCAUCAAUUGUUUCCAGUUCAUCACAAACUUUAUUAAACUCAUCUAUGUGUUCAUCAAGUGAUGCUCCUUCAAUCAUCCUCAGUGAGAACAUCUUUUUCUUGAUGUAUAGCCUGUUUGCUAAAGACUUUGUCAUAUACAAUUGUUCCAGUUUUGCCCAGAGCCCAGCAACAGUCUUUUCUUUUGCAACUUCCCUUAUCACUGAGUCACCAAGACUGAGGAUGAUAGUGCUUCUUGCCUUUUUGUCAAUCUCAGCCAUCUGUUCUGGAGUUCUUGAAGAAGAAGCUUCUGCAUUUUCACUCUUGAUGACUGGAUCAAUGGCAUCUCCCAGACCUUGUGUGAUUAACAAUGCUUCCAUCUUGAUCCUCCACAUAUUGAAGUCAUUCUGACCCGUGAACUUCUCAAGAUCCACCUUGUUUGUCAUUUCUUGAACCUUGAUACAGAAAAGAGGGCUCUGAUACCAAUUUGUUGUGAAUUUGGCUUUGUUACGACUAACCAAAUUCUCCCCAAGACACUAAUUUUGUAUCAAAUGGUUUGAGAAUUAACAGCACAGAUUAUCCAGUAACAAAUCACAUGCAAGAACCAAAGCAUUAAAGAAACAAAGUGACACCAAGUAUAAGUGGUUCAGCACCAAGAUGUGGUGCCUACAUCCACUGGAAACAAAGCAACAGUCUUUCACUAUUUAGUUCACAAAACAAUACAAGAAUAAGAAUUGAUUACAGAGAACAAGAACUUGUAAACCCCUUUCUCUCUCUAUCUUCUCUCUACUCUCUGUGUUUCCCAAUUCAUGUGUAGACGAUGACAGAGCCUGCACUUUUAACCUCUGUUUCUGGGUUGUUACAUUAACUACCCUUCCCGCCAAAACUAACCAAGAAGCUCCUCUCUCACGUGCUUGUCACAAGUUGGCAUAAGUGAGCUUGAAACGGCAAUCACAGAUGUCGUUCUUGAGCUAACGAGAUUCCAGCUUCACCACACGUGCAAACCACGUGUAUUACUUAAAGGUUGAAUGACCAAAGAGAGGAUGUCGGUUUUACUCUGAAGAACUCCUCAAGCGACAAGUCGGCUGAGACUAACUCCUCUAAACGACUUGUAGCACUUGAGUUUCGAGUUCACUGUUUAUCAGAUCCUCCAUUAGCUCAGUAUUUGAUAAGCUCAGUUGGAUCAGACUUGGGGGAAAUUGGUAUUCAGACAGGACCAUCCGUGACGGCUUGCUCUCAUUCACCAGCUUCAAGCAUUCAAGUUUGUGGAGUUCGCAAAGGCUUUUGGAAACCCCAGAUUGAUAGUAACUCAAAUCUCCAGAUAUCCGAAGAGUCCGAACACUAGGUAGUCUGAACAAUAUAUCAGGAGUACAACUACUAGGGUUUAAAGCAGAUGUGAAAAUGAGAUUUUUCAGAGAGCUAGAAUAAUUUUUUGGAGGUGCGGGCAAAGUGAUAGAACCAAAGUUUAGAUGCAUGAGUUUUUGCAUCAUCCAAAUAUCCUCUGGUGACUGAUCUAUGUGGCUAGAUGGCAUUUCUAGUGUUUCAAGGUUUAAAAGGGUGCAUAGCAGUGAAGGAAGGCAUUUGAGCGAAGGGAUAUUCAAUUUCAAAUACUUCAAAAGAUAUAAAUUUUCUAAUCCGGGUGGAAAUUGGUCGAGAACUGCAGAACCGAAGUUCAAUACCCGAAGGUGUUUGAACCUUUUAAAAAAAUUCUCGCAAUCUUUCGGAUUAAGAUGAUUGCUUUUUGAACUGUGAUUCAGAAAAGAUUGGAGAUACAUGUAAGAAUAUUCUAAAGGAAAGAAGUCAAACUGAUUACCCAAAAUGAUGCACCGUUUAAAAUUUGCCGGCGGUUCCUCAUCCACGUCAUGCAUCCAGACAAAUCCCGUCGCCUGUGCCAACAAUAACAAUGAAGUAUAUACAAAACUUGGAACAUAACACGCUUUAAUUGUGCCGCCGGCGCUUCUCUUACUCACUUGAAUGAAGCCGCGAUGGAUUAAUUGUUUCAAGUAAUGUUCGGCAGUUUCUUCACUGUUGUAUGGUAUGAAACCUUCAGCUACCUACAACUGAUAUAAUUGCCUCGUGGAUAUCUCAAUACUUGGAGGGAAGACACACAAAUAGAUGUAGCAGACUUUCAAGUGAAAAGGUAACUCCAUCACAGAAAAAAUUUGUCUCUCAACUGUCAAGCCGAAUUUUCCUUGGGUCAGGGUUUCUAAUGGCAUACUUCCAUAGUGUAGGAUGAAAAAUUGCCAGGCUUCAUGCUUUAAUCUGAUCAAUGGUCCUCCAAUGAGCACCGAAUCAAGCCGAAUUUUCUCUCCAUUUUCCAUUUCCAACGACGUAAGGAGUGUUGGUUCAGUGACCAAUAUCAAUACUCUGCUUCCAUUCUGAUCAUCAGGAAGAAGUUCUACAACAUCACUCCACAUCUCACUGUAAUGGAAGACAUCAUCAAGCACAAUAAAGUACUUCUUGUUUGUUAGGUAAUCUCGAAGAAUAGAUUUCUUGAAUUGAUAAUCUUUACCGAUAAUUACUCUAACCCGAGAUGGAGGCAUCACAGAUUUGAUUAUGUCUUCCAAUAUCUUGCCAAAAUCGUAGAGUAGAGAAACCCUGACCCAAGCAAGACAGUCAAAAUAGAACUUGACAUAGUUAUUAUUGUAAGUAUCUGCAGCAAAAGCAGUCUUAUCGAAGCCACUGCUGUCGAGAAUUGCAACCACUGAAAGCCCAGAUGGUCCCUCAAUCAAUAGAUCAAAAAACUUCUCUCAGCCCCGUUCAAAUUCACUGAUAUCGAGCGGAGGUUGUCCCUCACUUAAUAGGCGAAUGAUUUCGUUACUUUUUUCACUGAUAUCAAAACCAUUGUCGCCGGGUGGAAGUUGUUGCGUCCGAUUUCUAAUAUCAAUGAGUUCACUGUGGAGUCCAUCAUGAAGAGCCAUAUUAGUGCUGCUUUCACUUUCGUUUUAACUGUUUUGCUGCUGCAUGAUGUUGAUGAAGAACGUGUCAAUGGCUUCCUCAGAUUCAUGGACAAAGUCAUUGAUGUCCUGAAGAAUUUCCAGAAUGUCUGAUCUUUCAUCGUCUUCUUCAUCACUUUCUUCUAAGUCCAACAGUUGCAAUAAAGGCAAAGACAUUUCGGAUUCAACGAAUUCUUGUCUGAUGAGUUGAGACAAAAUCCGAGCCAUGUCAGCUUCAUAGUUUCCCAACAGAGUAGUAGUAAUAAUUUCAGACUCCGUAAGAAGGUUUUGAAAAAACGGGGCUAAAUUUGUUGAAUCAGGCAACGUUAACGUGCCUUCUUCACCUGCUAACACCCUUCUCAACCUCUCACAAAACAGUCGGAGGUGGACGUCCAGCAUAUCUCCUUCUCUCUGUAGCACCCAGAGGUAUUGUUUUUUGCUCCAAGAAAUAUUAAAAGGAUUGGUUCUAUCUCAAAGUGGUUACUGGUGUAAAAUUAAACGCCAUGGGAGAAUUUGAAUGGAAGAUGCCAAGGAACUGGCGAAGUGGCUAAAUUCCACAAAUACGGCAUUAUUGCUCAUUUUUAACUCAAAAAAUUGAUACGCGUUCAUUUAGCGAAAAGUCCAAGACGCGUGCCUUUUGAAAAGAAGAGGUAUCCAAUAGAUAUCCAACCUUUAUCUUAUUUUAAUUACUACCACGACAUGAUUGAUGGUGGUUAAAUCAAUUGUUUCUUUUUUAAUUUAAAGAAAUUUUCAUUAAAAAAAUAUUUUAAUAUCAAAUUGCCUUCAAUAGCGUAACUGCCGCAGGCCCAGUAACAGGAUUAAUUAAAUUUUUUUGAAUUUUUGGGCAUGGAAAGAGUAGUAUUAGACUUCAGUAAGCUAAGGUUGUUAUGUUAAAGAAUUGAUAUUGACAUAAUUUUAUUUUAGCUUUCGGGGAAAAAAAUAUUUGUUGACAAGCAAGAAAAUAUUUUUGUAUUUUACAAUUUAUUAUACUUAGUUUAUCAUAUUAAAGUAAUUUUAAUAAUAAAUAGACACAUAAUAUUACAAUAAAUAAAGUAAAGUUUAAAUUAUUUUGAAUAUUAUAAAAAAUAAUUUUAAUAUUAUUAAUAGGAAGACAUUUUGUUAAUUUUAAAAUAUUUUUAACCUAAAGGUUUAUUUAAAAUCUUUAGAAAUCUCCAUCCCACAUCUACCCUAUUAAACAAGUUGAUGGAAAUUGAACAAUUGCUUUUUGAAGUGUACCCAUUGAGUUAUGUUCAUUACUGGUCAUUGUCUAUUCUUUCUAAGAGCCACUUGUUUUGAGCAUUAGCAAUCCUAUCUGGACUACUCCAAUUAUUGAUGUAACUCCAAUGGUUGCAUCAACAGUUGAAUGUAAGAUAGUGUUAGUUCUUUUUUGAGAAUUUCUUUAUUUGUUUCUCCGUUGCAGCGUAUUAGUAUAAAUUUCUUUACCUUACAGAUCCUACAGUCUUCCUGUUAAUGAAUUCGCUGAGGCAUUAUUGAUCCAAUCUCAGUGAAGUAAUUGUGGGUGAAAGAAAAAAUAAAGGAUAAGAGAACGUAGCUCAAGUGCGGCAAACCAUACAUGCAUGAACAAAAGCCAGCAAAUCCAAAUGAAAACUUAAACGGAAGAUCUUAUUCAAGUUUGUCCCCAAAAGACAGCUGAAAUGAAAAAUAUUGACUAUCGAGUGGAUCAAUGCUGAAUUACAUUUGACCUGGAAAGCUUGGCUGCCGUUGCGAUGUUCCCCCUCUGAUUUUCCCUAAAACAAAUUCAGUUGUAAACAAUAACUGGGGUAGCAACAAUUUAUUCAUUAUAGAAAAUACCUAAAUUUUCAACCACCAAAUCCUCGUGUCUAAACUAAAAAACUCAUAUCUCUAAAAUCUAUAUACAAAAUGUCAUAAAUGAGGGUGAUCUCUCAAUUCGGUAAAUAAAUUCAUGCAUAAUAUUACCAAUAAUGAUAAAUUACAUAAUAAUUAUUAUAAAGAAUCAUAAAUUGGAAACAUUAAUCAUUUUAAAAUGUAUUACAUAAUAAAGAUAAAUCUUAUAAUAAGUUACGUUAGAACAUAAUAAAUAUUUUCAAUAAUAUAUAUAAUUAUUUAAGAAGUCUUUUAGCAAUAAAAUAUAUAUUUUUUCUUUUUCAGUUGAUCAUGUCAUAGCGUUAUCUAAAAUGUUAGCGAUAUCAUUAUUCUUCACUUUUCUCAAAAAAAAAAAAAGAAAAAAAAAAGAAACAUGAUUAACGUUUGGAGAAAAGUCAUGCCUUUUAAAAAGAAUAUGUAUACAAUACCAAUCCAUACUUUAUCUGACCAUGACAAAAUUGUUUAAAAUAGAUUUAAUGCACAAAUAUGAUGACUUUUGGCAGAAAUUAGUUUCGGAAAUAUUGGGAUGAAAACCAUAUUGGUUGAGACUUAAAAUUACUUAACUACCAUUUAAUAGAUAAAAACCAUAUUAGUUGAAAGUUAAAUUAAGAUUUAAAUGUUGAGAUAUCUAACGUUACUUAAUCAGAAUAAACAAUAAUCAAUUCAAAUUAUGACUAUCAUGUAGAAGCAAAUGUUUAUGCUUGGGUCUUUUACUUCUUGAAUUUGAUUGGAAAAAUUUCUGAGACAGAGAAGUGAGUGUUUUGGAUAAUAUUUUUCGGGAUUGAAACCACAAAUUGGUCGAGGAAAAUAAUUUUGGACAAAUUUUUAUUAUAUUGUAGCACCUUUUUGGUUCCUUUUGUGUCGGCAGCCCCUCACUAUUCUCUUAACCCUGAGUUUUGAGAUAGAAAUUUCCCGAACUCCAACCCCACAUCCACAGACAAGUUGAUUGAAACAAUUGCUCUUGUAAUUAAGAGGAUGAGAUAGGGUUCAGUUCUUAUCAUUGUCUGUUAUUUCUUUGAAUCAUUAUCUUAAUUAAUUACAUCAAUUGUUUCUUUUUUUAAUUUAAAGAAUUUUUCUUUAAAAAAAUAUUUUAAUAUCAAAAUGCGUUAAAUGGUAUUACUGCCGCAAUCCCAGUAACAGGAUUAAUUAAAAAAAUAUUCUUAGGAAGAUAUUUUGUUUAUUGUAAAAUCUUUUUAAUCCAAAGGUUUAUUUAAAAUCGUUAUAAUAAAUAAAAAUAUAAAAACAAAAUAAAUAUCAUAAUUUAAAAUUUUAAUAUUAUUUUAAAUAUUAAAAAUACUUUAAUGCUAUUAGUCUACUACACAGGUUAUAUUACUUAUAUUAUAUUUGUAUAAAUUAAAACUUUUAAAGUUAAAUCUUUAAUUACUAUAUUGAAAAGGUAUUAUGGUUAAAAAAAGUUUUGGCAUUUUUUUUUGAAAAUUUGAGGGUCUGCAUGACAAUUUGUCCAAAUCCUAGAGGUAUAGGUGUAUUUUUUUUUCGAUAAUUCAUUUUACUUUUGAGGGAAUCCGAUGAGAAAUAAGAUAAGAGAAACUUCAAUUUAAUGUUCUCUAGGGAAAACCAAGAACUAUUCAACUUUGUAUUUUUUGUUUGUAAAACAAAAAACAGUUUGCCAAAAAAGGUACCAAACAUAUCCUUAAUGUCUCACAUGAUUUCUUAUUAAGUCCAUACUCGAUAUAUUUAUACAUUUUAGGUAUUUUAGUUAUAAAAGAAGUUGGUCCUCCCUCUGUUUAUAAAAGGUAACUUUAUUUCGAGAUUACCACUAAAGUCUUACAAAGAAUUAGUGUAAUGUUAAGAGAGACUAACACAGUUUUCCAUUACCAUUUUGAAAAUAGAAAGAUAUGGAUGUGUGCAUUUAAUGGUGAGUUUACUUGCCGGAUUGGGGAAUCAGAAUCUGGAAUCGGAAUGAUUGAUGGUGUUUACUUCGCAAAUAUGGAGCAGGAAUCAGAAUUGGAAUGGUGGAGCCCACCACUAUUUGGGAAUGGGAGAUUGAUUCCCAUGGGGGAAGGUGGGAAUGAGUCUCCCAUUCCCUGGAUUAACCAUUUUGCCCUCCCUCAAAAUUAAAAAUGCCUACUUUGUCCUCUUUUAUAAUUAAUUAAUAUAAUAUUAUAAUUAAUUAAUUAAUAUAUAAAUAUUUUAUUAACUAUAAUUAUUAAAAAUUAUAGUUCUUGAAUAAAUAAUCACAAUAAUUAAUUUAUUAUUAUUAUUGUUAAUGAAUUAAUAUAAUUAUUACUAUUAAUUAAUAUAUUAAUAUAUUAUUAACAAUAAUAUAUUAAUAAUUAUUUUUCGUGAAUAAAUAAUCACAAUAAUUAAUAUAUUAUUAUUGUAAUUAAUUAAUUAAUAUACUAUUAUAAUAAUUAAUUCAUAUAUUAUUAUUAAUUAAUUAAUAAAAUUAAAAUUAUUAAUUAAAUAAAUAAUAUAAUUAUUACUACUAAUUAAUAUAUUAUUAAAAAUAAUUAUUAAUAAUUAUAAUUUUUGAAUAAAUAAUCACAAUAAUUAAUAUAUUAUUUUAAUUAAGUAAUUAAUAUUAAUAUUAUUAGUUAAUAUAUUUUUAUAAUAAUUUUUGAUAUAGUUAUUAUAAUUAAUUAAAUUUUUUUACAAUUAAUUAAUAUAUUAGUUAAUAAUAAUUAUGACAAUAAUCCAUUAAGUACUUUUUAGUAAUUUGUUACAAUCUAAUUCAUUCUGAUUCCGAUUUCAAGACAAAGUAAACACAUUAAUGGCAAUCUAGCUCAUUUCGAUUUUGAUUCUUACAGUUCAAGUAAACAACUUAUUUUGAUUCCCAUUACCUAUUCCCAUUCCAGCCCAUUCUCAUUUCUGCCCAUUUCAAUUCCAGCUCAUUCCGAUUCCAGUUUAGUAAACGCAGCAUAAGAGUUAUCAUGAAAAUCAUACAAUUUAAUUUCCUGAAAUAUAUAUUUUAUUCACAUGUGCCAAAAGAAUAAAUAGAUAGAAAGUAAAUUUACAAUCCUCACUCCCUCAUAAUUGUUAAAGUGAAUAUGCAUUACAACUGUGAACUGUCACUACUUUAGCCCCUUUUUUUUUUUUUUCAAUUAUAGUGUGAUGGAGACAGUGAACAUUAAGGAUAAAGUGCUCUGCUGAAAGCCAAACUUCCUUUGGCUAAUUAAUUUAGAAGUAAAGCAGAGAAUAAAGUCCUUGAUGCCUUCUGAAAUUAGAAAUACAUUUUAUAUGCUUUAAUUAUGAUUAUUUGGUAGACUAUUGACCAAAAGACAUGUUAAAGUAUAAAACAGAGCGAUCAAAGAAAAAAAAAAAAGGAGCGUUUGUGACGUAGAAUAACAAUUUGUAAGUAAAGUCCUAAUUUGAGUUGUCAAAAAGCAAAUAUAACAGAGAAGGUAAGAGAGAUGCAAAAAGGGGAAAUUUACAGUAAUAACCAUUAAAGUUUUGAUUUUUUUCAUCUUAACCCCUUAAAAAUAUUUCUAUCAACAUUAGCCAUAAAACAACUUUUGAGACCAAAAUACCUCUCCUUCAUCUCUCCCCCAAAAAACUUGUUCUGUGGCCAAAAAGCUUGAUUUUUUUUUUAAAAAAAAAAUCUAAUCUUUUGCGGCUUGUUGCAUGAUUUUAAGAUGAAAAAUUUGUCAAGUUGUAUUCUAUCAGCAUUAUUAUUAUUAAUGCUUUCACCUGCAAAUUCAUUGAUAUUCAUUCCCCCUUCCAUAAUCUUCGUGCCCAAAUUGCUUCUAACUUUUCUCGACUUCGACGCGGGUGAGAGAUUGCUUUUCCUUUCACCUUUUUGUUUUCUUCCGUUUAGCUUCAUUAUUUUAAAAAAAAAAAAACCGAAACAGAACAGAAACAAAAGCUUCAGCCCGCGGCCACCGUCCAAGGCUGCCGGCUCUCGUUUUCCGUCACCGAUCCGGACGCAACCACCACUAAACGGAUCAUAAAUCGCCGGCCAUCAAACUCCAAGCAUCGGACACCGUUGAUUAGCCACAGAUCGCCGGAAAAGCAACCAAAACAGCCGCGCCAACCGUGCCGUCAUUCACCGGUUUCCGCCGCGAUUUAGCCAGCACCACCGUAAUCAAUCCACUCCUCUCCACGAGCUCAACCUCUUUCGUUAUUCCCCACCUCCGAUCGACCAACCCAUCGCCGGAAUCUAAGCAUCACCAAACAGUUACAACUUAUCUCAAAUUUCCGGCCAAAACGCCACCGUUUCCGACGAAUCACAAACAUCAUCAUGAACAACUUCAAGUUUUGGUGCGACAGGGUGCUUGUCGCACCAAAACUUGGUGCGACGGGUGCCUGUCGCACCAAGGCUUGGUGCGACGGGUGCCUGUCGCACCAAGGCUUGGUGCGACGGGCACCCUGUCAUCAGAUUCAUCCUCCGACUCAGAUCAAUAAGUUUGAAAAUAACUCAUGCCACGAUGCCGAUUAGUUUUGGUCUGUAAAGAAGGGUAAUUUAGGGAGAAAGGCUUGUGUUUGGCUAAUGUUGAUAGAAAAAAAUUCAGAGGAUUAGUUGCAAAAAUAACAAAAUAUUUAUGGUUAUUUUCGUAAAUUUCCCCAAAAAGAGAACUAUUAGCUUAUCUUGAUUUCCCCACUAUAUUCAUUUUCGAUGCUUUUCAAACGAGAUUCUUUUAAUCCUUCUGGCGUCUGCAGCCCCUGCUCUUCUUAUAAAUCUCCAUCCCACAUCUGCACUACGAACAAAUUGACUAAAAUUAAAUAAUGUUGGAGACGAGGGAUGAGCUGUCAACUUAUUAAAAAAAACUCAUGUAUAAUAUUAUCAAUAAUAUAAAAUAUAUAAUAAUUAUUAUAAAGAAUCAUAAAUUAGAAAAAUUAAUUAUUUUACAAUCUAUUUCUUAAGUAAGAUAAAUCUCGUAAUAAGUUAAGUUUAAUGUAAAAAAAUAUUUUCAAUUUAUAAUCAUUUAAGAAGUCAUUUAACAAUAAAAUCUUUCUUUUGAUCAGGUGGCCAUGCCAUAGAGUAUCAUCUAUAUUCGUGGUGAUAUUAUUAUUACUCAAUAUCCUCAAAAGACACGAUUUAACAUUUAGAGAAAAUUCCUGCCUUUUAAAAAGAACAUGUAUGCAAUAGCUAGCCACACUUUAUUUUACCACGACAAAAUUGAUAGUGAUUAAAUCAAUUUUCUCAAUUAAAGAAAUUUUUUUAAAUUGAUUUAAUGCACAAAUAUGAUGAGUUUUUGCAAAAAUUAGUUUUGGAAAAUAUAGUGAGAGAGAAUGGUGACGAUUAUUUUUCAGAUGUGCAAAUAGCCUAAACAUAAUCUCUAAUACCAAUAUCCUUGUGCAUCUUAACACCUUUCAUGAUAUUCUUUCAUUCAUGGCCAUUUGUUCAAUAUUUGAAUUUGAUUAUUAAAUUAUGUUCAAUAAUGUUAGAGACCCCAAUAAUUGGGUACCAACUUAAAUCCCAAUGCUAUGUGUCAUUAACAAAUGUUGUGUCAUUUAUCAUUAUUGAAUGAAUAAUUCGUUAAUUUAUUGAUAAAUGAAAAUUUAUUAAUUUAAAGAGAGAUUGUUUUUUUUUGGUUUUAAGAAGAGUUUUGUUGGUACAUGUACAUACUUAUAAAGAAAUAAACUUGUAAUUAUACUAUAUCUUUCUUUCUUUGUUCAGUUUGGUGGGAUAUUGUGAUAAAUCAUUGGAUUAAAAUGCAUUUCUAAAUUGAAACUUGUUAAAAUCUAAUUUAUUUAGGAAACACAUAUUAUUUGUCAGUCGUACUUCUCAAAUAAGAUUAAAACUCACCCAAUUCAAUCCAUCAGAUUCCGUAAGGAUAUAACUGGAUGUCAUACCGCCACUCCAUAUCCUCGAAAGUCCGUAGUCCUUGUCUCAACUGUGUCUGGGGCCAGUGUAAGUCCAAUUUGCGCAAGCUCUUUAUGCACCACAGCUCUUCUGGAAGCUUUCUGAAGUAAGCACAUGGGUUGACAAUUAAGCUUUCAAGUUUCGGCAUUGCUCCAGCCCCCAUCGUCCACUCAUCUAGCCAAUUUACUCAUGAAUUGUUGUUCAUAUUAGCAAUUUGAUUGAAAGUGUGGCUGCACUAAUUUUCUAGAUGAAUUUUUUCCUACAUGCUUGUUCCCGUGUGACCCAAAAUCCUGCUACAUCAGUUGUAUUAGAAAUUAAUCAACUGGGUUACAAUUAUGCAUCCCCACCAAUAUUUAAGCAAUUUAAUUACAGAAACAUUUCUUGAGGAAAAAAACUCAUAUCGCCACUAGGCUUUUAAUGAGGCUCAUUUUUAUGAAUUUGGAUGGCAUUAGAUAUCUCUCCGAAUAUUGGUGGGAGUAGAUCGCAGAUCUCUGGGCUAUACUACAAAGUGUAUGUACGUUGACUCUCAAUAAAUACAAACGAUUCUCUGAUAUGAUUCAAAACAUCAGUGCAUGCAUCAUUUUAAUGAGAAAGAAUAUUCUAAGAACGAAAUUGAACGUGCAAUCAGCAAUUAAAAUGAAGCCAGAAAUGUACAUGCAUGAGGAAUUUUUCUUAGAAGAUUGAUAUUUCUUUGACUAGCAAACCAUACAAGUCCAAAGCUAGCAAACCAUACCUGCAAGUCGGGGGUUUAAAUGGAGUACUUCUAAGCAUAAAACAUUGAUUAAAACAGAAUACACACAUACAUACCAGCAAAUUCAAAAUAGCAAAAGGAGUGCAAAAGUUCAAGUUUGUAGACAACAUUGCAACCAUGGCAUGUUUAUAGCAAAUCCUCGAAAUCUGCUAAAUAAAACAAUGCCCUGUCUCAUGAAUCAAUGCUGAAUUAAAAUUGAAACUGAAAGUCUGGCUGGCGUUGUUUCCCUCUCCAAUUUUGCCUACAUAAGUGAAAAUAAGAAUAAUAAAUGAAAAUCUGCUUUUACGGUUCUUCUUUGAUAGAUAAAAGGGGGAUCUUUCUUUGUUUCUCUGCUGCAAUGUGUGCCUAUCCCACUCUGUUUUGCCACCCAAGCUGAGUCUAUGUUGAGACAUAAUUUUGACAUCCGAAGCAAUCUCAAUUAGUUUGGCAAUUUUAUGACCUCCUUGAAGGUUUUAUGAUAAACAUAAAUCUACUGAGAAAGUGGGAAAAAAAGAAAAUGCAUAUAAAAAUAUGAGUUAUCAGAUAAGAUUAAAACUCACCCAAUUCAAUCCAUCAGAUUCCAUAAGGAUAUAACUGGAUGUCAUACCGCCACUCCAUAUCCUUGAAAGUCCGUAGCCUCUGUCUCAACUCUGUCUGAGGCCAAUGUAAAUCCAAUUUUCGCAAGCUCUGUAUGCACCACAGCUCUUCUGGAAGCUUUCUCAAGUAAGCACAUGGGUUGACAAUUAAGCUUUCAAGUUUCGGCAUUGCUCCUGCCCCCAUCGUCCACUCAUCUAGCCAAUACAUUGAUUUCAGGUGCAAAACCUUAAGUUCGGGAAAGCUACUCAAGCCAACACAAGCAAGCUUUCUUCCUAAAUACGAGUUCUGCUUCAGUUUCAGCACUCGAAGGAGUGGAAGAUUUUCCAGAAUUGGCGUGGGAUCCUCCAUUAGCUCAGUAUUUGAUAAGGUCAGUUGGCUCAGACUUGGGGGAAAUUGGUAUUCGGACAGGACCAUCCGUGAGGGCUUGCUCUCAUUCACCAGCUUCAAGCAUUCAAGUUUGUGGAGUUCGCAAAGGCUUUUGGAAACCCCAGAUUGAUAGUAACUCAUAUCUCCAGAUAUCCGAAGAGUCCGAACACUUGGUAGUCUGCCCAAUAUAUCAGGAGUACAACUACUAGGGUUUAAAGCUGAUAUGAAAAUGAGAUUUUUCAGAGAGCUAGAAUAAUUUUUUGGAGGUGCGGGCAGAGUGAUAGAACCAAAGUUUAGAUGCAUGAGUUUUUGCAUCAUCCAAAUAUCAUCUGGUGACUGAUCUAUGUAGCUAGAUGGCAUUUCUAGUGUUUCAAGGUUUAAAAGGGUGCAUAGCAGUGAAGGAAGGCAUUUGAGCGAAGGGAUAUUCAAUUUCAAAUACUUCAAAAGAUAUAAAUUUUCUAAUCCGGGUGGAUAUUGGUCCAGGACUGCAGAACCCAUGUUCAAUACCCGAAGGUGUUUGAACUUUUUACAAAAAUUCUCGCAAUCUAUCAGAGCGAGACGAUCGCUUUCUGAACUGUUAUUCAGAAAAGAUUGGAGACGCGUGUCAGAAUAUUCUAAAGAUAAAAACUGAAUCAGAUCUUCCCAAAUGAAGCACCGUUUAACAUUUGCCAGUGGUUCCCUUUUCCUUUCACGCAUCCAGACAAAUCCCGUAAUCUCUGCCACCAAAGCCAAUGAAGUAUAUACAAUACUUGGAACAUAACACGCUUUGAUUAUGCCUCCGGCUCUUCUCUUACUCACUUGAAUGAUGCCGCGAUGGAUUAGUUCUUUCAAGUAAUGUUCGGCAGUUUCUUCACCGUGGUAUGGUAUGAAACCUUCAGCUACCCACAACUGAUAUAAUUGCCUCGUAGAUAUCUCAAUACUUGGACAGAAGACAUACAAAUAGAUGCAGCAGACUUUCAAGUGAAAAGGUAACUCCAUCACAGAAAAAAUUUGUCUCCAAAUUGUCGGAAUCGCUUCGCCUCGAAAAUAAUUUUCUAAUGGCAUACUUCCAUAGUGUAGGAUGAAAAAUUGCCAGGCUUCAUGCUUUAAUCUGAUCAAUGGUCCUCCAGUGAGCACCGAAUCAAGCCGAAUCUUCUCUCCGUUUUCCAUUUCCAACGACGCAAGGAGGUUUGGAUCAGUGACCAAUAUCAAGACUCUGCUUCCAUUCUGAUUAUCAGGAAGAACUUCUUCAAGAUCAUCCCAUAUCUCACUGUGAUCAAAGACAUCAUCAAGCACAAUAAAGUACUUCUUGUUUGUUAGGAAAUCUCGAAGAACAGAUUUCUUCAAUUGAUAAUGUUCACCGAUAAUUACACUAACCCGAGAUGGAGGCAUCACAGACUUGAUUAUGUCAUCCAAUAUCUUGCCAAAAUCGUAGAGUAUAGAAACCCUGACCCAAGCAAGACAGUCAAAAUAGAACUUGACAUGAUUAUUGUUGUAAGUAUCAGCAGCAAAAGCAGUCUUGUCGAAGCCACUGCUGUCGAGAAUUGCAACCACUGCCAGCCCAGAUGGUCCCUCAAUCAAUAGAUCAAACAACUCCUCUCUGCCCCGUUCAAAUUCACUGAUAUCAAGCCGACGAUGUCCCUCACUCAAUAGGCGAAUGAUUUCGUUACUUUUUUCACGGAUAUCAAAACCAUUGUCGCCGGGUGGAAGUUGUUGCGUCCGAUUUCUAAUAUCAAUGAUUUUAGUGUGGAGUCCAACAAGAAGAGCCAUAUCAGUACUGCUUUCACUUUCGUUUUCACUGUUUUGCUGCUGCAUGAUGUUGAUGAAGAAUGUGUCAAUUGCAUCCUCAGAUUCAUGGACAAAGACAUUGAUGUCCUCCAGAAUUUCCAAAAUAUCUGCUCUUUCAACAUCUUCUUCAUCGCUUUCUUCUAAGUCCAACAGUUGCAAAAAAGGCAAAGAUAUUUUGGAGUCAUCGAAUUUUUCUCUAAUGAGUUGAAACAAAUGCCGAGCCAUGUCAGCUUCAUAUUUUCCCAGCAGAGUAGUAGCAAUAAUUUCGGACUCCGUAAGAAGGUUUUUAAAAAGUGGAGUUAAUUUUGUUGAAUCUGGCAGCGGCAACGUGCCUUCUUCACCUGCUAACACCCUUUUCAACCUCUCACAAAACAGUCGGAGGUGGAAUUCCAGCAUUUCUCCUUCUCUCCGUAGCACUCAGAGGUAUAGCUGAAAGAUUAAACACCAUGGAAGAAUUUGAAAGGAAAAUGCCAAGAAAUUGUGUAAGUGGCUAAAUUCCACAAAUAUGACAUUAUUGCUCAUUUUUUAACUCAAAAAAAGGGUACGCGUUCAUUUAGAGAAAAGUCCAAGACGCGUGCCUUUUGAAAAGAACAGGUAUCCCAAUCGGUAUCCAACCUUUAUCUUAUUUAAUUACUACCAUAACAUAAUUGAUGGUGCUUAAAUCAAUUGUUUCUUUUUUAAUUUAAAGAAUUUUUCAUUAAAAAAAUAUUUUAAUAUCAAAUACCCUUCAAUGGCAUAACUGCCGCAAGCCCAAAAACAGGAUUAAAUAAUUUUUUUUUUUGAAUUUUUGGUCAUGGAAAGAGCAGUAUUAAACAUCAGAAAGCUAAGGUCGUUAUGUUAAAGAAUUGAUAUUGACAUAAUUUUUUUUGGUUUUCGGGGAAAAAAAAAUUGUUGACAAGCAAGAAAAUAUUUUUAUAUUUUACAAUUUAUUAUACAUAUUUUAUCUUAUUAAAGUAAUUUAAUAAUAAAUAGAAACAUAAUAUUACGAUAAAAAAAUUAAAGUUUAACUUAUUUUGAAUAUUAUAAAAAAUAAUUUUAAUAUUAUUAAUAUGGGGACAUUGUAUUAAUUUUAAAAUUUUUUAACCCAAAGGUUUAUUUAAAAUGUUUAUUAUAAAUACAAAUAUAAAAUUAAAUAUCAUAAUUUAAAAUUUUUAAUAUUAUUUUAAGUAUUAAAAAUAUUUUAAUGUUAUUAGUCUACUACAUAGAUCAUAUUACUUAUAUAAUAUUUGUAUUAUUAAAAAUUCUUAAAAUCAAAUUUUUAGUUAGUAUAUUCAUGAGGUAUUAUGGUUAAAAAAAAAAAGACCUUAUUGUUACUUUUUAAAAAAUUGAGGGCCUUCGUGAUAAUUUUUUCAAAAAGAAAAUACUUGGUAUCUGGGAGGGAUAGAGAAAUAGGACUCCCAAAAUCUCUCACCCUUUUUUAAUUAAAAAAAUUAAAAUAUCAAUAAAAAAUAAUAAAGAAAAUAGAAUUUUAUCUACUCCUUACUUCAUUUUUGCAACUCUCUCACCAUCUCUGUCGAGCAGCCCUCUCUCUCACUCUCUCACUCACACAGUCUUUUUCACGAUUUGAAAUUCUUUGGCCCUUUGCAUUACAAGAAAUUAACGCUUUGGUUCUCCCAAGGGUAGAUUGGUUUUAUUGGGAAGCUAUUAAUUAGAAGGAGGAAAAAGGACUAUAUUUAGAAUAUGAUUUGUUGGAGAAUCUCAGAGUUAGUCAAUUUUCAAGCCACACUUUCAAUAGCCAACUGAUUUAGAAACCAUUAAUUACUUUAAUUUCCAUAAAUUGUAAUGACAGUGCAAAUGCAUCUGGUUGUGAUAGCUAAGGGUUAGCUUGAAGAAUUAAAUUUCAUAAGAUAUUACUGGAAAACGCUUUGCAGAUAACGUGUUGCUUCCUUUGCUAGGCUACAAUUUCAAAAUUCUCACGAGUUUUCCAUUGUUGUCACAAACCGAGAAAUUAUAAAAUACAUGGCCUGGUUCUUUGGCAAUGACCAUCUCAUCGUCGGCGGUCGCGUCGUCAUUGUCACUGGUCUUGCUGGACCGAGACAGUGAGAGAGAGGUUUGUUAGAUGGAGUUAGUGAGAGAGAGUUGUAAAGAUGGAAUGAUGAUAAAGGAUUUUAUUUUUUUUUAAUUGUUUUUAUUAAUAUUUUAAUUUUUAAAAUUAAAAUUUGCUGCCGUUUCUCUCGACUCUCAUAAUUUAUUUCAUUUUUAGGGAAUCCAAUGAGAAAUAUGAUAAAAGAACGUCAAUUACUUGUCAUUUUCAAUUUUUUUCUAUAAGCUAUUUAUUUCGAGCAUUAGUGAUCUUGUCUGGCUACUCCAAUUAUUGACGUAACUCCAGUGGCUGCAUCCACUGGAAAAAGUGGAUGAGAACCAUUUUUUUUUCAUAAAGGUAACUGCUCCAAUUAUUGACAUAAUUGAUGGUGCUUAAAUCAAUUUUUUUUUUUAAUUUAAAGAAUUUUGCUUUAAAAAAUAAUUAAUAUCAAAAUGCCUUCAAUGUUGUUACCGCCACAAGCCCAGUUAGAGGACUCAUUAAAAAUUUUAGAAUUUUUAGGCCUGGAAAGCGUAGUAUUAAACAUCAGAAAGCAAAGGUUGUUAUGUCGAAGAAUUGAUGUCGACAAAAUUUUAUUUUAGUUUUCGGAAAAAAAAAUAUUUUGUUGACAAGCAAGAAAAUAUUUUUUAUACUUUACAAUCUGCUAUACAUAUUUUAUCAUAUUAAAGUAAUUUUAAUAAUAUAUGGAAACAUAAUAUUAUAAUAAAUAAAUUAAAAUUAAAAUUACUUUGAAUUAUUGAAUAUUACAAAAAGAUAAUUUUAAUAUUAUUAAUAGGAAAACAUUUUUUAAUUGUAAAAUCUUUUUAAUACAAAAAAUCAUUUAAAAUCUUUAUAAUAAAUACAAAUAUAAAAUUAAAAAAUAUCAUAAUUUAAAUUUUUUAAUAUUAUUUAAAUAUUAAAAAUACUUUAAUAUUAUUAGUCUACUACAUAAAAUAUAUUAUUUAUAUUAUAUUCGUAUUGAUUAAAACGUUUUAAAGUCAAAUUUUUAAUUAGUGUAUUCAAAGGUAUAAAAGAUUUUAGUAUUAUUUUUUAAAAAAUUUCAGGAUAUGAAUGAUAAUUUUUUUCAAAUUUUAAAGAUGUAAGAAUCUUUUUUUCUGAUAACUUAUUUCACUUUUGAGAGAAUCCGAAAACGUUAAUUUAACAUUCUUUACCUUUAUCUUUUCAAAAAAAAAAAAAACAUUCUUUUUUUGAUAAGAAUGUUUUUUUUUUCUUUAAAAAAUAAUUAAUAUCAAAAUGCCUUCAAUGUUGUUACCGCCACAAGCCCAGUUAGAGGACUCAUUAAAAAUUUUAGAAUUUUUAGGCCUGGAAAGCGUAGUAUUAAACAUCAGAAAGCAAAGGUUGUUAUGUCGAAGAAUUGAUGUCGACAAAAUUUUAUUUUAGUUUUCGGAAAAAAAAAUAUUUUUUUACCUUUGUGAAAAAAGUGAAAAUCAAGAACUAUUCAAUUUUGUUUUUAUUUGUAAUUCAAAAACUUUAUUCAUUUUUGGAUGCUUUUCAAAAGAGAUUCCUUUAAAUCCUUUUGGUGUCUGCAGCUCCUGCCAUUCUCAUAAAUCUCCAUCCCACAUCUACACUAUCAAACAAGUUGAUGGAAAGUCUUAUAAAAAAAAAAAAGUUGAUGGAAAUUGAUCAAUUGCUUUUUGAAGUGGACCCAUUGAGUCAUGUUCAUUUCUGAUCAUUGUCUACUCUUUCUAUCAGCCAUUUAUUUUGACCAUUUGCGAUCUUAUCUGGACCUACUCCAAUUAUUGUUGGAACUCCAAUGGUUGUAUCUACAGUCGAAUGUAAUAUAGUGACAGCUCUUUCUUUGAGAAACUAGAGGGACCUUACAGUUCAUAUAAAUUUCGCUACCUUACAGUUCAUACGGUCUUGCUGUUAAUGAAUUUGCUGAGGCAUUAUUGAUCCAAUCUGAGUGAAGUAAUUGUGGCUGAAAAAUAAAUAAAGGAUAAGAGAACGUAGCUGAAGUGCUGAAGGGGCUAUUAAAGAAGAGUGUCACUUGAUCACAAUCACAUUGAUGCACAAUUCACUUGGCAAAUUUCGACUAUGCGUACUGCAAAUUCAGCCAAACCAUACAUGCAUGAACAAAACUAAAAUGUAGUUCUAAUCACAACUGCAGUUAUGAUGUUUACCCCUCUGAUUUUUCUCCAAAACAAAUUCAGUUCAAAACAAUAAUCAAAAUAGCCACAUUUUGUUCGUCAAAAUAAAUGCCCAAAUUUUCAAUUAACAAAUCAUCUUCUCUAAACUAAAAAGCCCACAUCUCUAAAAUCAAUCUACAUAAUGUUGGACAUGAGGGGUGAAUUGUUAACUCAGUAAAAAAACUCAUGCAUAAUAUUACUAAUAAUAAAAAAUAUAUAUUAAUCAUUAUAAAGAAUCAUAAAUUAGAAAAAUUAAUCAUUUUAUAAUUUAUUACACAAGUAAGAUAAAUCUCAUAAUAAGUUAUAACAUAAAAAAAACGUUAUCAAUAUAUAAUCAUUUAAGAAGUCAUUUAACAAUAAAAUCGUUCUUUGAUCAGUUGGUCAUGUCACAUAAUAUCAUCUAUAUUUAUGGUGAUAAUAUUAUUACUCAGUAUUCUCAAAAAACAUGAUUUAACAUUUAGAGGAAAUUCUUGCCUUUUAAAAAAAACAUGUAUGCAACAGCUACCCAUGCUUUAUCUUGCCAUGACAAAUAUUUUCUCAAUGAAAGAAAUUUUUUUAAAAAUUGAUUUAAUGCACAAAUAUGAUGAUUUUUCCAAAAAUUAAUUUUGGAAAAUAUAGUGAGAGAAAAUAGUGACGAUUAUUGUUUAGAUGUAUAAAUAGCCUAAACAUAAUCCUUAAUACCAAUAUCCAUAUGCAUCUUAUCAUCUUUCAUGAUGUUCUUUCAUUUAUGUCCAUUGGUUCAAGAUUUGAAUUUGAUCAUUAAAUCAUGUUCAAUAAUAUUAGAGAUUCCAACAAUUGAGUACCAACUUAAAUCCCAAUGUUAUGUGUCAUUGACCAAUUAUGUGUCAGUGACCAAUUUUGUGUCAUUUUGUUAUUAACUAGGUGAUGAAUUUCUAGUUGAUAAAAUCACUUAAAAAUAUCUUAAAAAUUAGACAAUAGUUUGCUUAAUUUUUCCAAGUUAACUGCUCAAGAUGCUCUAUUAUAAAUGAUAACCUAAUUAUAUUCAUAAAAAAUGAUAUAUUUUUUUGUGGUGUUGAUAAUGAGAUUAUCAUUCAACGUUUUAAAAUGUGAAAACAUAUGGAAGACGGUUGUAAAUUGAUUGAAUGAAAAUAUUUCAGUGAAGUCUCAAAAAUUUGGUACUUGUUGUCUUAUCGAAAGUUUUCUAAAUUAUAUUCGUGGCACAGCCACUAUCCAAACCAUACAAGUCCAAAGCUAUCCAAACCAUACCUGCAAGUCCGGGGCUUAAAUGGAGUACUUCUAAGCAAAAAAACAUUGAUUAAAAUAGAAUAUAUACAUACAGACACACAUACAUACCAGCAUAUUCAAAAUAGCAAAAGGAGUGCAAAAGUUCAAGUUUGUAGACAACAUUGCAACCAUAGCAUGUUUAUAGCAAAUCCUCAAAAUCUGCUAAAUAAAACAAUGCCCUGUCUCAUGAAUCAAUGCUGAAUUAAAAUUGAAACUGAAAGUCUGGAUGGUGUUGUUUGUUGAGAAUGUCAAAUAAAACGGCAUUGAAGGAAGUUUUCAAAGGCAGAAUCCGCACUUGUCAAAGACACGAUCCGCACCGAACGGAUCGACACAUUUCCUUCCGUAUUCACAUAUGUAAUCUUUGAAAAAAUGUAGCUUCUGCAUCUAUAAAUAACGCUCAGUGUAUAAUGUUUUAUUCAAGAAAUAAAAACAAGUUUCUACAUGGUAUCAGAGUCAUGAAUGCGCUCAAGUUUCUUCAAGUUUCGCUGCUCUGUUUGUCACAAAAACAGAGGAAACCAAAUUCGUCCCACAACCAUUUUUUCCACCAUUUUCUUCCUUAAAAUCAUUCCUAACAUUACAGAAAUCCAUGCCGAUCAAAAAACAUGAAAGACAAAUUACACAUGUGCAGUAACCAAUGAUCAUAUUUCGUUACUGUCAAACACAAUGCAUCUGAGCAAAACAUUGGAAGCCAACACCAGAAUACAUAUGAAUAAACAAUUAAAGAUAGAGAAAAAAGGCUUAAACCUUGGGGGAAAAAAGUGAAAAAACAUGAAAGACAAAUUACACAUGUGCAGUAACCAUCGAACUUAUCAGUGACAGCUGCAUCCAUUACAUUGCUCCAACAACACAAUGGCAAACCACCAGUUUCAAAUUGAGGAUAGCUAUCGAGAAUGAGAAAGUGUCCAAAACAUCAUAAAUAGACAUGUUCCUAUUGUGCAUAAUUUACAUUAUAGGCAAAUAUUCUUAUACCAUCAAAGGCAAAACAUGACACUAACAAUUGAUCCCCCCCCCCCCCCCCCCCCCCAACAACCAAAAAAAAAGGAAAAACAAUACAGAAAAGAUUGAAACAGAUAAGGCUACACUGAGCACAGGAUGCCAUGAAACAUAAUCCAGGAACCAAAUUAAUAAAAAAGGAAGCCAAACCAUUAUUUAACAAUCUGUUUUGUAUUUGGGAAAGUCUGAUAAAAUCUACUUAGGGAUAAUUAGAGAACUUCAACUAUUAAUCACACCUCAUAAAUGAACUAACAUUAACCAUCUACCAUCCCCACGUCACACAAACAUUCUCUAUACUUCUGAACCUAAUACUUCCAUCUUCAAUUGGGGGUUUUUUUUCUUUUUUUUUUUGGGUGGGGGGGGGGGGGGGGGGGGGGAAGCUAUCAAUUUUCUAAGCUUGCUUAGCUUCUGUGUGGGAUUGAAAUGCUGAUUUCGAAUCACUAACAGUAAAAUUGGAAGCUCAUGAAAAAACAGUUUUAUCUCAAAAUUACAUCUCGAUAUAAAUUCUCUUUUCAUUUCCUUCAACUUUCUAAUUAAGCUUAAAAAAUGUACCUUCAACCACAAAGGGGUUUAAAAUUUAAAAUAUAAAAAAUAAAUUCAGAUAACAAUAAUUAAUUUAAUUAAAAAUAUAAAUAGAGUUACAGAGAAAGAGAAAAUAGAGAAAGACCUAAUGUUGAGUCCUUUGGCGCAUGUCUCUUCAUAGGUCCGAACCAUUUCUUCGGGCGUGGGUUACGGCCGAGAUUGGAUAAUGAUGGAGUAGGAUAAGAUUAGCGAUAACGACGCCGAUGAAAUGGAAGGGUUUACCAGAGGAGUGGAUGCGAAGAGUGCAGGGACCGCCGCAGAGAGAGAGCGGCGGAGAGCGGCGACGGACGGUAGUGACCAGCGGAGGCGGAAGAUGGCGGUAUGGGCCAUUGCUUGCGCGUCGGUGAGUGUCUCGAGUGAGAGAGUGAAGGGUUUUGGGAAAUGAAAAAUGCAAAUGUUUGAUUUUGUUGCUAGAAACUUCUUCUGCCGCUGCCUUUUAUUUUCGCUAUAAUAAUAAUAAUAAUUUGUUAAUCAAAUAUUUUCUUAAAAAAGAUAAAUUUCUACAAGAAAAUUUAUAUUAAAUCAAAUUGUAAAAAUGUCUAUUAGGGUUAAUUUCUCCUUAAUAUUAUUAUUAGUUGAAGUAGAUUUUCGAAUUAGUCUUGAUAUAUUUCAGAGUUGUAUUAUAAAUGUAUAAGUAUCUGGAUUGCAAUUAUAUUUUUAAAAAAUAUAAUUUUUUUAAUUAUUGCACAAUAAAUGUAGAUAGUAUCUAUAAAAUAAUAUUAUUAGGACUAUGAAAAAAAUAUUAUUUUAGAGAAGUUAUUUAUUUAUUAUUGAAUGAAUAAUUUAUUAACUUAUUGGUAAAUGAAUAUUUACUAAUUUAAAGAGAGAUUUUUUUUUUGAUUUUAAGAAGAGUUUUGUUGGUACAUAUUCAUACUUAUAAAGAAACACAAAAAGUAGUUCCUCAAGUCAAUUGUAUUUGCUUUAAUUCGUAAUAAUAUAUCUUAAUCAAGAAACUUGUAAUUAUACUAUAUCUUUCUUUCUUUGUUCAGUUUGGUGGUACAUUGUGAUAAAUCAUUGGAUUAAAAUGCAUUUCUAAAUGAAAACUUGUUAAAACCUAAUUUAUUUGGGAACCAUAUUUUAUUUGUCAGUCGUAUUUCUCAACUUAGCAAGUUAUUUCUAACUUAUCGGUCUCUAUUGGUUUUCUUAAGUGCCUGUUUGAUAUGACUUAUUUAAUGGCAAUAAGUGCUUAUUUAAUCUCAUAAGCUCUUAUCAUAAUUUUUGUUAUUGUUUGGUUGUUUUUCUAAUAAAGUUUUUGAAGCUUAAAUAAGUAAUUUUACCUCUCUUAACAAAAGCUCAAAUUUUGAGUUUUUUGGGAGUAGAGAUUGAAAAACUUUUUCAAAUGUCAAAAUAUCUAUAAUAUCCUCUACUUAUUUAACAAUCUUAUUUAUUAUUUUCAUAAUAUAACUUUAAAAGACUUGUCUAUUAAAGUAAUUUCAUAAAUUUUUAAUAAAAACUCUUAUUGACAACCAAACAACUAAUUUUUUUUAGCAAAACCUCUACUUAAAUAAGUUCUACUUGAAAAACUGUAUCAAACGGAGCUUAAAGUUAAUAGUCUCUUAUCUCCCACAUUUGAUAUCUUAAUGGUAUCAGCGUGUUACCUAAGAUUGGGAUUCAUUAAAAUCCUCAAUGUAAUCGGUGGAAUGAAAUGGAUUUUUAUAACCUCCUUGAAGGUUUUACGAUAAACAUAAAUCUAUUGACAAAGUGGGCAAAAAGAAAAUGCAUAUAAAAAUAUGAGUUAUCAGAUAAGAUUAAAACUCACCCAAUUCAAUCCAUCAGAUUCCGUAAGGAUAUAACUGGAUGUCAUACCGCCACUCCAUAUCCUCGAAAGUCCGUAGUCCUUGUCUCAACUGUGUCUGGGGCCAGUGUAAGUCCAAUUUGCGCAAGCUCUUUAUGCACCACAGCUCUUCUGGAAGCUUUCUCAAGUAAGCACAUGGGUUGACAAUUAAGCUUUCAAGUUUCGGCAUUGCUCCAGCCCCCAUCGUCCACUCAUCUAGCCAAUACAUUGAUUUCAAGUGCAAAACCUUAAGUUCGGAAAAGCUACUCAAGCCAACACAAGCAAGCUUUCUUCCUAAAUACGAGUUCUGCUUCAGUUUCAGCACUCGAAGGCAUGGAAGAUUUUCCAGAAUUGGCAUGGGAUCCUCCAUUAGCUCAGUAUUUGAUAAGCUCAGUUGGAUCAGACUUGGGGGAAAUUGGUAUUCAGACAGGACAAUCCGUGAGGGCUUGCUCUCAUUCACCAGCUUCAAGCAUUCAAGUUUGUGGAGUUCGCAAAGGCUUUUGGAAACCCCAGAUUGAUAGCAACUCAAAUCUCCAGAUAUCCGAAGAGUCUGAACACUAGGUAGUCUGCCCAAUAUAUCAGGAGUACAACUACUAGGGUUUAAAGCUGAUAUGAAAAUGAGAUUUUUCAGAGAGCUAGAAUAAUUUUUUGGAGGUGCGGGCAGAGUGAUAGAACCAAAGUUUAGAUGCAUGAGUUUUUGCAUCAUCCAAAUAUCCUCUGGUGACUGAUCUAUGUAGCUAGAUGGCAUUUCUAGUGUUUCAAGGUUUAAAAGGGUGCAUAGCAGUGAAGGAAGGCAUUUGAGCGAAGGGAUAUUCAAUUUCAAAUACUUCAAAAGGAAUGAAUUUUCUAAUCCGGGUGGAUAUUGGUCCAGGACUGCAGAACCCAUGCUCAAUACCCGAAGGUAUUUGAACCAUUUAAAAAAAUUCUCGCAAUCUUUCGGAUUAAGAUGAUCGCUUUCUGAACUGUGAUUCAGAAAAG
RNAcentral lists this long non-coding RNA (36643 nucleotides) under Citrus x clementina. RNAcentral describes it as "Citrus clementina (C. clementina) long non-coding RNA (CCLE_LNC002393)". The record is from RNAcentral. Lineage: Eukaryota; Viridiplantae; Streptophyta; Magnoliopsida; Sapindales; Rutaceae.